RNAcentral lists this small RNA (3018 nucleotides) under Mytilus galloprovincialis (Mediterranean mussel). The record is from RNAcentral. Lineage: Eukaryota; Metazoa; Mollusca; Bivalvia; Mytilida; Mytilidae.
AUGUUUUUCGUAUGUGUUGGUAAUCCAGAUGAGCAAUUUCAGUACAUUACUCCAGUUGGCUCAGGAAUUAGUGAUGCAUUUACUAAUGAAAUAAGGUGUUAUCGUGAAGGUGAUUAUGGUGCCACAAAGUGGGAUACUGCCUACACAUCAACAAUACGUUCGGUCAAAUGCCAAAUGCUUGUUCAGGGUAGUCGUUGCUCGUCUUGUGCAGAAGACCGACGAAUGUUGAGAAAAAGACAACAGAGAGCCGAAGAGAAGAAAACUUCACCACCUGUGACUUUUGUUCAUCGAAUUUAUCAACAUAAACACAUGUCCAGAGAAAAUCUAGUGACCAAAAUUGAGCAACAAAAAACUGAAAUGAGAACCUUGUCUUCAGAAGUAGAGAAAUUAAAGAGACAACUUCAUAAACAAAUCUUGCAAAAUGGUGUAACUUUCAGCAAUCCCAUCGCAGAAAACAUUGAAAUGAAAGACCUCAUGUCAACAUGUCAAAAUGACUUUGAACAAGCCUUUCCCAAUCCAAAUAGCCUCCAAAGAUUGUUCUGGGAACAGCAGAUUAAAUUCAAUUCAGCAGGAAAGAACGGCAUGCGUUGGCAUCCCAUGUUGAUAAGAUGGUGCUUGUUCAUGAGAAGCAAAAGUGCGAAGGCAUAUGAUUCUAUGAGGGACAGUGGUUUCAUAAAGCUACCAAGUACAAGAACACUGUUUGAUUACUCGCAUUAUACAAAGAGUGCUCUAGGUUUCCAACCAGAUGUGAUGAAGAUGUUACAUGAUGAAGCAAGCAAGUUAGGUAAGAAACUAACUGUUUACAUUACCAGUGAUUUUCCAACCCUCUUAUUUGGGUCCAAAUAUGGGCCCCUGUCCCAAUGAGAAAUAUGCUCUUUUUUUCCCCAAGUUUCAGCUCUUAAAUUUUCAAUUGUGUAUAGACAUCAUUGUAAGGUUUUGUUGGUGUCGUAAUGUGGUAUUUUGUUGAAAAAUCUCUUGAAAUUGUUCACGAUAUAUGCAAUUAUAACUUAUUCCCCAUAAUGCAGAAUUUUGCUCCAAAUUUUUCACAAUUUUAUUGGGGACCGACCAAGUUGCACGCAGCUGGUGCGAGCUAAUUCAUUUUCCGCAAAUCAAACAUGUCAUGAACUUUUAUUCCCAAUUGCAUGGGCCCUGGGUCCCAUCCCUUAAACACUAGGAAAAUCACUGAUUACAAUUUAUUUUCUAUAAGUAGGAUUACUGUCAGUGUCAAAAAGAAUAAUUUUAUGAUAAAAGCAUCUCAUAGUGACCAACUUAAACAGCAUUUCAGGACUUUUAAGAAUAAUUUAAUCAGAAUCAAGCACAACUACAAAACAAGUCUGCCAUUUUUAUUUUAACCUUAAAGUCAUGAAAGUCAAUCAUGAUUUGAUGUUCAUUGUACAGGAAUAUGGAAAAAAAUGUACCUAUAAAAAUAUAGCUGUACAGAACAUUGAUCAGGGAAUGCGCCAGAACUAUGUCAUAUAUAUGCUGCUUGAAUUUUCUUGACUGUUUACAAUUACAUGUACUACAUGAACUACUUGUACCUUGGAAAUAGACAUAAAUUUAAGGGUAUCUAAGAGGUUUAUUUUGAAAAAAAAUGAGAUGUGGUAUGAUUGCCAAUGAGCAUGAUGAGACUACUCUCCACCAGAGUCAAUAAUCUGUGUCUUUAUUUACAUGAUACAAAUAUAUACAUCGUCCAGAAAUUUCAAUAACUUCAUUAUUUUAUUCUAUGAUGGGUUUCUUUUUUUUUCCAGCUAUGUAUGAAGACAACCACAAAAGCUUUGUUGGUAUUUUAUUUGACGAAAUAAAGAUACAGGAGGACUUAGUGUACGAUAAACACACUGGAGAAUUGAUAGGAUUUUGUGAUCUGGACUCCAUUGGCAAUGAAAUUCUGAACUUGGAAAAUCUUGUAGGAAACUGUCAAAAAUCACAAGUUGCAAAAUUUAUGCUAGUGAUUUAUGGUGAGAGGUGUGACCAGUAACUUGAAAUUUCCCCUAGCUGGGUUUCGCUACAAACAGUAUUACUGCUGAUUUUUUAUAUCCUAUCAUUUGGAAGGCCGUUUCAUUGAUAGAAUGUGUGGCAAAGUUAAAAGUUUUAUUUUGUACAUGUGACGGAGCAUCAGCCAACAGGCGUUUUUUUUCAACUUCACAAGAUAGAUAAUUCUGAGGAACCCGUUUAUUUCACCAUCAACCCACAUGACAACAGCAGAAAUUUGUAUUUUAUCUCAGAUGUCCCCCAUUUAAUUAAGACUGCCAGAAACUGUUUUAGCAACUCAUUCUCCCAUAAAAACACCAGACGACUAUGGAAAAAUGGAAAAGACAUCUCUUGGAUGCACAUGGUGAGACUGUUUGAGGAACACUGUGAGUUGCAACUAUAUAGUCCCUGUCCAAAGUUGACAAGGAGCCACAUUGACCUGGCAGCAUUCACGUAUAUGAAGGUAAAUUUGGCUGCUCAAAUUUUAAAGUGGUAGUGUGGCCAAUGCCUUGGAACAUUUGUAUGAUGACAGUGUGUCAGAAACUGUUUUGUUUAUUCGAAACUUCAAUAAAUUUUUCGAUUGCCUGAAUGUGAGGAAUUUGUUUGAAGGACGUAGGUGGUGAUGAUCCUCGACUUAAUUGGUUAAAAUCAACAUUUUUGGACUAUUUAAAGGAAUGGAAGCAGUCAGUCAUGCAAAGACCAAACCUGACACCUUCACAGAAAUUAUCUAUGCAACUAAGCGCACAAACUAUAGCUGGGGUGAAAAUCAGUAUAAAUUCUAUAACAGAAUGUGUGAAAUUUAUGUUGGACCAAGGAGCAGAUUUCGUACUAACUUACAACUUCAACCAAGACCCCCUAGAACAACAUUUCGGUCACUAUAGACACAAGGGAGGAGCCAAUAACAACCCCAGUGUUUAUGAAGUAAGACAUACCAUGACACAGUUACGUGCUGUUGGAGCUCAAGCAUUGAAUCCCAAGCGUGGAAAUAUAACAAAUGUUAACAAUAAUGAAAAUGUUAUCGACAACACGAAACUACAACGAAAACGAUAA